Molecule: small nuclear RNA, 104 nt
Organism: Urocitellus parryii (Arctic ground squirrel)
Lineage: Eukaryota; Metazoa; Chordata; Mammalia; Rodentia; Sciuridae
Source: Ensembl
GUGCUUGCUUCAGCACCAUAUAUACUAAAAUUGAAAUGACAUAGAGAUUAGUAUGGCCCCUGCACAAGGAUGACAUGCGAAUUUGUGAAGCAUUCAGUUUUUUU